This 906-nucleotide long non-coding RNA is filed under the name Hordeum vulgare. Its description in RNAcentral is "long non-coding RNA (HVUL_LNC000223)". The record is from RNAcentral. Lineage: Eukaryota; Viridiplantae; Streptophyta; Magnoliopsida; Poales; Poaceae.
GGGGGAGGGAUGCAUCUACAGACCAUUAUAGAAGCGCCAUUGCGUUAUACUUUCAAGGAAGAUAUCGUAGCCGCACUUUUCAUAAGAUGAGCAGUUCUACACUAGUACACAGUUGAAAGAGCAACCCACAUACUUUACAUAUUAUAUGAGAUAUUAGAAGAAAACUGAAGGGAUGAGUUUAGAACUGUAAUAGAAUGCCUAUAUUUUUUUUACGGUUUCAACAGGCUAUUACGAUAACUGUCGUGGGUAUAAGUCUGACAGUAGAAGUACGGGGUAUGAAAGUAUAUGGGCAGAGCCUUAGCUAUGGCGAGGAUGUAUGAGUUCAGGCCCCUCUAUGCUGGAGGUAAAAGCCCUACGUCUCAGUGCUCUUGGGAGCUUUGUGUCGAGUGUAUUAAGGGAUUACAACAAGUGCCAACCCCUGUACCAGUGGUGAAGGGCGGCUUAUAUAGAGUGCGCUGCCCUUCAUAAUGGUCCGCUGGACAGGGGUGGAGUAGUGGCGAGUAAACGCUGGCAUUACUGGUAACGUAAGCUUUAAAUGCUAGUUAUGGUCUAUGAAAACGUAUGACCGUUGCCCUCCUGGGAGGUUACGAUGUAGAGAGUGGAUUCCAGUCGGUACGUUAGAUAUGCUCUGAGUGGAUCGUCGGCGACUGGAUGAUGGGGGCGUCCUUAGUUCAGUCGGAACUGUCUAAGGGCCUUGUCCCCUAUGAAGGGUAGUCCUUGAGUACGACCUAUAGGGCAGACCUAUGACCCUACCCUGGGACUAUAACCCCAUCAUUAGUCCCCGAAUGGAUCGGGGCUGGAACGAUGAAGUGAUGUCCGGAGUUUGGAGCCGACUGGUAUUGAGGUGAUCUUAGUGUUGUCUGCCUCGAUCCAUUUUAUCUUUGCGGCUAGUGAUCCGAGUGAAUA